AAACGGGUGAGUAACACGUGGGAACCUACCUCUUUGUGGGGAACAACACGCUGAAAGGCGUGCUAAUACCGCAUAAGUUCUUAUGAGAAUAGGAAGAAAGCCUUUCGGGGCGCGAAGAGAUGAGCCUGCGGCUGGUUAGCUAGUUGGUGGGGUAACGGCCUACCAAGGCGAUGAUCAGUAGCUGGUCUGAGAGGACAACCAGCCACACUGGGACUGCGAUACGGCCCAG
This 229-nucleotide ribosomal RNA is filed under the name uncultured bacterium. RNAcentral's name for it is "partial 16S ribosomal RNA". It matches the Rfam family "Bacterial small subunit ribosomal RNA", at positions 101 to 334 of the family's 1533-position model. The record is from RNAcentral.